Molecule: long non-coding RNA, 222 nt
Filed under: Elaeis guineensis (African oil palm)
Lineage: Eukaryota; Viridiplantae; Streptophyta; Magnoliopsida; Arecales; Arecaceae
Description: long non-coding RNA (EGUI_LNC077685)
Source: RNAcentral
UACCAUGGUCUGUUGGGGUUGCUACAGACUUUUGAGAAAGAUCACUAGCUCCAUAAGGAGAUGGUGAAUGUAGUGGGAGCAUCUUCUUCAGACGGGCAUCGUCCCUUUAAGAAAGGGAAGAAGAAGAAGAAGAAUAAGGUGCCAAGUGCUGGGCAUCAGACGGUGAAGUCCAAGUUCAAGUCUAACUGGAGUCAGGCAGAGUACUUCUAUUGUAGAUAGCAG